AACGAACGCUGGCGGCGCGCCUAACACAUGCAAGUCGAACGAGAAGCUGUAGCAAUACAGUUGUACAGUGGCGAACGGGUGAGGAAUACAUGGGUGACCUACCCUCGAGUGGGGAAUAACCAGCCGAAAGGUUGGCUAAUACCGCGUACGUUUCCCAGUCCGCGGAUUGGGAAGGAAAGCGAUGCCGUGGUAUCGCGCUCAAGGUUGGGCUCAUGUCCUAUCAGCUUGGGUGAGGUAACGGCUCACCAAGGCAACGACGGGUAGCUGGUCUGAGAGGACGAUCAGCCACACUGGCACUGCGACACGGGCCAGACUCCUACGGGAGGCAGCAGUGAGGAAUAUUGCGCAAUGGGCGAAAGCCUGACGCAG
This 369-nucleotide ribosomal RNA is filed under the name uncultured bacterium. RNAcentral describes it as "bacterial SSU rRNA". It matches the Rfam family "Bacterial small subunit ribosomal RNA", at positions 29 to 391 of the family's 1533-position model. The record is from RNAcentral.